GGGGAUGUAAAGGUUUCGACGGGGGCGUGGAAACCGGAUAAGCGAGCCGCAGUUUGUCCAGUCUGCGUUAAAAAGGACACGUUAAAUAUAAACGCUAAAAAUAACAACAAUUUCGCAUUAGCAGCGUAGUUCUGCACCGCGUGUCAGCCCAUAUUUACCUGUAGGUAUGGAAUCUGGCAUCGACUAUACAGGAAAACCUGACAAGUGAGUCCGGCCUUGUCAGGGAACAACGGACUAGCCGAUUUAUGAACCUGCUGACGGGUGCUUAAAAAGGCGAAACUUAAAUCAUCAGCUGCGCUCGGAGAAAUUCCUGUGGAAAUACUUUCGGACGCGGGUUCGACUCCCGCCAUCUCCACCA
This 358-nucleotide transfer-messenger RNA is filed under the name Clostridia bacterium. It matches the Rfam family "transfer-messenger RNA". Rfam says of the family: Bacterial tmRNA, also known as 10Sa RNA or SsrA, is named for its dual tRNA and mRNA-like properties. Lineage: Bacteria; Bacillati; Bacillota; Clostridia. The record is from RNAcentral.